GGAGUGAAUCAGGUAAUCGCAGGCUUUUAAAAGUCUGAGGAAAGUCCGAGCUCCACAGGGCAGAGCGCUGGGUAACGCCCAGUGGGGGUAACCCCAGGAAAGUGCUACAGAAAAGAGACAGCCAGGUAUUCUGGUAAUGGUGAAAAGGCAGGGUAAGAGCCUACCAGUUAUUGGGUGACCAAUAAGCUGAGCAAACCCCGUUCGGAGCAAGAUCAAGAAGGAGAUAGAUAGUGGCCCGCUAGAGGUCUCCGGGUAGAUCGCAAGAAGUAUAGGGUAACUUAUACUCUAGAUAGAUGAUUACCACACUGUUUUCACUUUAGAGUGAGAGCAGUGACAGAACUCGGCUUAUGAUUUGCUCCCCCG
Molecule: RNase P RNA, 363 nt
Filed under: Candidatus Stramentimicrobium fermentans
Lineage: Bacteria; Pseudomonadati; Atribacterota; Candidatus Phoenicimicrobiia; Candidatus Pheonicimicrobiales; Candidatus Stramentimicrobiaceae
Description: RNase P RNA component class A
Rfam family: Bacterial RNase P class A
About the family: Ribonuclease P (RNase P) is a ubiquitous endoribonuclease, found in archaea, bacteria and eukarya as well as chloroplasts and mitochondria.
Source: RNAcentral